GUCCACUUGGUCUAGGGGCAUGAUUCAUCCUUAGGGUGGAUGAGGUCCGGGGUUCGAUUCCCCGAGUGGACC
Molecule: transfer RNA, 72 nt
Filed under: Fragilariopsis cylindrus CCMP1102
Lineage: Eukaryota; Bacillariophyta; Bacillariophyceae; Bacillariales; Bacillariaceae
Also listed under: 1 other name
Description: tRNA-Pro
Rfam family: tRNA
About the family: Transfer RNA (tRNA) molecules are approximately 80 nucleotides in length. Their secondary structure includes four short double-helical elements and three loops (D, anti-codon, and T loops).
Source: RNAcentral